This 440-nucleotide ribosomal RNA is filed under the name uncultured bacterium. Its description in RNAcentral is "partial 16S ribosomal RNA". It matches the Rfam family "Bacterial small subunit ribosomal RNA", at positions 338 to 795 of the family's 1533-position model. The record is from RNAcentral.
CCUACGGGUGGCUGCAGUGGGGAAUAUUGCACAAUGGGGGAAACCCUGAUGCAGCGACGCCGCGUGAGUACAGCAGACUUUCGGUAUGUAAAACACUAUCAGCAGGGAAGAAAAUGACGGUACCUGAUUAAGAAGCCCCGGCUAACUACGUGCCAGCAGCCGCGGUAAUACGUAGGGGGCAAGCGUUAUCCGGAUUUACUGGGUGUAAAGGGAGCGUAGACGGCAGCACAAGUCUGGAGUGAAAUGCCGGGGCUUAACCCGGGAACUGCUUUGGAAACUGUGCAGCUUGAGUGCAGGAGAGGUGAGUGGAAUUCCUGGUGUAGCGGUGAAAUGCGUAGAGAUUAGGAGGAAUACCAGUGGCGAAGGCGGCUUACUGGACUGUAACUGACGUUGAGGCUCGAAAGCGUGGGGAGCAAACAGGAUUAGAUACCCUUGUAGUC